This 3930-nucleotide long non-coding RNA is filed under the name Homo sapiens (human). RNAcentral describes it as "non-protein coding LINC00999:1". The record is from RNAcentral. Lineage: Eukaryota; Metazoa; Chordata; Mammalia; Primates; Hominidae.
GCGAGUCACAGGCGCGGGUGUUCGGCUACGUCACUGGGGCGCUACGGUGCCUGGAGCUGGGCAGUCUUCUCGUCAGAGUGGGGACUGGUAAGAGCGACCUCACCGCCAGGUCCUGUGUGUUGCCGGCUGAAGAAGGGUAGCUGAAAAAUUCAGACCCAGCACAGUGUUUAUGUUGGUCAAAAAUAGAAAACUAUGUCUGCCGCGGCCGAGGCAGGAGGACCCUUCAGGCCAAGAGCAGCCUAGCAACAUGGCGCAACCCCAUCUCUGUAGUCCUACCUCAGCCCCCCAGCUACUUGAACCCAAAGGUUCAAGGCUCCAGUGAGCUAUGAUCCCACCACAGCAUUCCAGCCUGCGAGAUUGAGAUGAUGAUUAUUCCCCACCUUCUAAGAGACAAAGACCAACGAUCCACCACAGCCACCAGUCCCAGAACCCGCCAAUGCUGGGGAAUGGAAAAUGAGGGAGUUCAACUCUGGCCCUCACAAUCCAGUGGAGGAGACGAAACUCAUCUGCCUCUGUCCCUCUGGGCACGCCUCAUGCCAGGUGCAUCUGUGGACAGGGGCCAUGCUCCUGGGCUUCCAAAGUUGGAGAAAGCUGCCAGGCUCAGGUCUGAAGGCCAGAAUUCUACAGUAAGUCCUACUGAGUCAAGGUGGGAGCAGGGUCGGUGGCUUCCGAGGCUCUGCGGGAGAAUCCGUUUCCUGGCCGUAGAGGUGGCCUGCACUCCUCAGCUUGUGCUGCCCGUCUCGAAUGACUGGAGUUUCCUGCUUCUGUCACUACACCUCCCACCCUCUCCAUCACCUGCUCUGCUCUUAUAAGGAUCCGAGUGGAGUCUUGCUCUGUCAUCCAGGCUGGCAGUGGCGUGAUCUUGGUUCACUGCAAUGUCUGCCUCCUGGGUUCAGGUGAUUCUCCUGCCUCAGCCUCCUGAGUAGCUGGGACUACAGGCGCCCGCCACCAUGCCCUGCUGUUUUGUAUUUUUGAGAAAUGGAAUCAUCGUAUCGCUGAUCUGCGUAAACAAAUUGAAGAAUUGUCUGAAAGAAAAUAUGACAUGAACUUAUGAAUUCAACAGGUAAAGAUUUACAACUUGAUAAAUCAACUUUGUGAGCUCGAGCUGUAAAAGCCAAAGGUCCAGUGAUGAUCCCAUACCCUUUUGUCCAGUCUCAUGUUGAAGAUUUUUAUGUAGAAGGCCUUCCCAAAGGAAUUUUUUUUUUUUUUUUGAGAUGGAGUUUUCACUCUUAUCGCCCAGGCUGGGGUGCAAUGGCGCAACCUUGCUGGUCACUGCAACCUCUGCCUCCUGGGUUCAAGAAAUUCUCUUGCCUUAGCCUCCCAAGUUGCUGGGAUUACAGGUGCCCACCACCACACCAGGCUAAUUUUUGUAUUUUUAGUGGAGAUGGGGUUUCACCAUGUUGGCCGGGCCAGUCUCGAACUCCUGACGUCAAGUGAUCUUCCCGCCUCGACUCCUGACAUCAAGUGAUCUUCCCACCUCGGCCUCCAAGAGUGCUGAGAUUACAGAUGUGAACCCAUGCCUGGCCAGGAAUUUUGUUUUUUAGGAAGGCUUUCUACUAAUGGAAUUCCUGGCCUUGAGAGGAUGUUACUUUCGAAGGAAAGGAUUUUUUUGUUAUUAAAAGAGCCACCUAAGCUGAAGAUUCCCUUGAGAACAAGUACUGUCCUGCGGUUUCAUGGCCUUUCUUCCAUUUGUGGUUCUUGUGAAGUGGAAUUUAAAUGACAUCAAGAUGGAUAAACCCUAGUUUCCCAGUGCUGGAAUAUAGAAAAUGGAUGGACAAGUAAAUCCCACUCAGCACCCAUAGUCCAGGCAUGGGGAUCUCAACACACCUGAGCCCCAGACAUCACCUUUCAUUCUGGACCUACCAUGAAAGACUUCUGAAUCCAGGAAGAGAAACUGACUGGGCAACAUGUUAUUCAGAUGGAGUUUCACUCUUGUUGCCCAGGCUGGAGUGCAAUGGCGCUAUCUCGGCUCAGCACAACCUCCACCUGCCGGGUUCAAGCGAUUCUCCUGCCUCAGCCUCCCGAGUAGUCUCACACUGUCACCCAGGCUGGAGUACAGUGGCACAACCUCUGCUCACUGCAGCCUCCACCUGCCAGGCUCAAGCAAUUCUCCUGCCUCAGCCUCCCGAGUAGCUGGGAUUACAAGAAGUGACCUCACAAUGACUCAAGCUACCACAUGCUGUUGAUUGUGAAAUGCCAGUUGAAGCAUAUGUCCUGCGAGCUUAGGGGUGCUACAAGUUGACCACUGCAGCAGUAAAGAUGACUCUGAAGAAUGGCGUGGGAUGGAUCCUUUCGAAUGCACUUGAGCAGCGGUCUCCAACCACAGGGCCACAGAGCUGGAGCUGGAUCUACCAUGAAAGACUUCUGAAUCCAGGAAGAGAGACUGACUGGGCAACAUGUUAUUCAGGUACAAAAAGAUUUGGACUAUAACUUAAAAAUGAUCAAAUAAUAGUGCAUGCAUCAAGUGCAAUGGGAAGCUCUUCUGGAGAGUGAGAUAAGCUUCCAGUUAAGGAGAUGGGGUCUCACCCUGUCACCCAGGCUUGAGUACAAUAGUGCUAUCACAGCUCACUGCAGCCUUGAACUCCUGGGCUAAGGAUCCUCCUACCUGAGCCUCCUGAAUAGCUAGGACUGGUCUCCCUCUGUUGUCCAAGGCUGGAGUGUAGUAGUGCUAUCGCAGCUGACUGCAGCCUCAACCUUCCAGGCUGAAGCGAUCCUCCCAUCUCAACCUCCCACGUGGCUGAGACUACAGGUGCUUGCCACUAUGCCCAACUAAUAUUUGGAAUUUUCGUAUACGUGGAUUCCAGAGGGGUGACAGCAAAACGUGGGACCAUCCAGUUGCAGGAAAACAAGCUUAACAUGCCCACUGAUUCUACAUUAUGGUGAGUUCUAUAAUUAUUUUAUUAUAUAUUACAGUGUAAUAAUGGAAAUAAAGUGCCUAAUAAAUGUAAACGUGCUUAAAUCUUUUGGCCCAGCUCCUACCUCCCGGCAGCAUCUCCAGGCCCAGAACUUUCUCCAGUCAGCCUCUACAGACCAAGCUCAUGACUCACAAUGGCCUAUUUAGGCCCAUACCCUACCUCACGGCAGUCUCCGCAGAUGAGCCUACUGCCUCACAACAGCCUCCACAGGCACAGCUCCGUCGUUACAAUGGCCUCUUUAGACCCAGCUCCUGCCUCCCAGCCUUCUCUCCAGGCCCUGAACUUUCUCAAGUCGACCUCACCAGGCCCAGCUCAUGCUUCUUUGCAGCCUCUCCAGGCCCAGCUCCUGCAUCUUGGUGACCCCUCCAGGCACAGCCUCUGCCUCCCGUCGGCCUCUACAGUCCCAACAUCUGCCUCACAGCAGAUUCUUCAGGCCCAGCAUCUGCCUCACUGUGGACCCCCCAAGCCAAGCUCCCAACCUUUCAGCAGCUUCUACACACCCAGCUCCUGCCACCCAGUGGCCUCUUUAGGCCAAGCUCAUGCUUCACAAGGGUCUUUCCAGGCCCAAUUUUUGUCUCAUGGCAACCUUCCCUGGCCAGAUUCCUGCCUGUCUCCCAGCAGCCUAGACAGGCCCAGGUCUUGCCUCACACUGGCCUCUCUACAUCCAGCUCAUGCCUCACGGUGGCCUCUCCAGGCUCAACUCCUGUCCCAGGACGUCAUCUCCGGGCCCAAAACUUAAAGUCAGACUCUCUAGUCCCAACUGCUGCCUCCUGGUGGAUUAUGAAGGCCCAAAAUCUCCUCAAGUUGACCUCUACAGGCCCAGCUCCUGCCUCCUGUCAGCGUCUACAGGCCCAACCUCUGCCUUAUGGGGGCUUCUCCAGGCCCACCUCUUCCUCUUGGCUGGGUCUACAGGCACAACUGCUGCCUCACAACAGCCUUUUUUGGCCCAGUUCCUGCCCAGCUCCCAGCGGCCCUGGUAGACCCACAACUUCCCGAAGCCAAGCUCCCCAGGCCC